RNAcentral lists this ribosomal RNA (740 nucleotides) under uncultured Bacillota bacterium. RNAcentral's name for it is "bacterial SSU rRNA". It matches the Rfam family "Bacterial small subunit ribosomal RNA", at positions 60 to 804 of the family's 1533-position model. The record is from RNAcentral. Lineage: Bacteria; Bacillati; Bacillota.
AGUCGAGUGCGCGGUUGUAGCAAUACAACUGGCGCACGGCGCACGGGUGCGUAACACGUGGGCAAUCUGCCCUCCGAUGGGGAAUAACCCCGCGAAAGCGGGGCUAAUUCCGCAUAACAUUCCCUGGACUCUGGUUCGGGGAUUCAAAGCAGCAAUGCGUCGGAGGAGGAGCCCGCGCCCGAUUAGCUAGUUGGUGGGGUAACGGCUCACCAAGGCAAUGAUCGGUAGCUGGUCUGAGAGGAUGGCCAGCCACACUGGAACUGAGACACGGUCCAGACUCCUACGGGAGGCAGCAGUGGGGAAUCUUGCGCAAUGGGCGAAAGCCUGACGCAGCGACGCCGCGUGGGGGAUGAAGCUUCUCGGAGUGUAAACCCCUUUCGACCGGGACGAAUGCCCGCAAGGGAGUGACGGUACCGGUAGAAGAAGCCCCGGCUAACUACGUGCCAGCAGCCGCGGUAAGACGUAGGGGGCCAGCGUUGUUCGGAAUUACUGGGUGUAAAGGGUUCGUAGGCGGUGUGGCAAGUCGGGAGUGAAAUUUCUGGGCUUAACCCAGAGGCUGCUUCCGAAACUGCUGUGCUCGAGUGUGGGAGAGGCGCGUGGAAUUGCAGGUGUAGCGGUGAAAUGCGUAGAUAUCUGCAGGAACACCCGUGGCGAAAGCGGCGCGCUGGACCACUACUGACGCUGAGGAACGAAAGCUAGGGGAGCAAACAGGAUUAGAUACCCUGGUAGUCCUAGCCCUA